CCUACGGGUGGCAGCAGUGAGGAAUAUUGGGCAAUGGGCGAGAGCCUGAACCAGCCAAGUCGCGUGAAGGAUGACGGCCCUACGGGUUGUAAACUUCUUUUGUCAGGGAGCAAGUGGGUCCACGCGUGGGCUUAGCGAGAGUACCUGAAGAAAACGCAUCGGCUAACUCCGUGCCAGCAGCCGCGGUAAUACGGAGGAUGCGAGCGUUAUCCGGAUUGAUUGGGUUUAAAGGGUGCGUAGGCGGAAUAUCAAGUCAGCGGUAAAAUUUCGGGGCUCAACCCAGUCGUGCCGUUGAAACUGAUGUUCUUGAGUGGGCGAGAGGUAUGCGGAAUGCGUGGUGUAGCGGUGAAAUGCAUAGAUAUCACGCAGAACUCCGAUUGCGAAGGCAGCAUACCGGCGCCCAACUGACGCUGAAGCACGAAAGCGUGGGUAUCGAACAGGAUUAGAUACCCGAGUAGUC
Molecule: ribosomal RNA, 460 nt
Filed under: uncultured bacterium
Lineage: Bacteria
Description: partial 16S ribosomal RNA
Rfam family: Bacterial small subunit ribosomal RNA
Source: RNAcentral